UUGCAAGAUUGGUGCAGUAGUCGACUUCAGGAGAGAUGCAAAACUAUUAAGGACUUCCGUAUCUGGGCCUGUUUCUUUCCGGUGGAGUAGUGUGCCUACUUGCUCAUUUGGAAGUAGAAAGAUGGUGAUGCAUAAAAAGGGCGACGAAUGCAUAUAAUCACUGCUGGUUUAUCACGCCAGAGCUCUGAAGCCUUCAUUGGCGGACUCUUUGAUUUCACCAAACGCUCCGUUCCAAUCUUGUACUCUG
Molecule: long non-coding RNA, 247 nt
Organism: Solanum verrucosum
Lineage: Eukaryota; Viridiplantae; Streptophyta; Magnoliopsida; Solanales; Solanaceae
Exons: 3
Source: RefSeq, a predicted model, not a curated record